GAUGAACGCUGGCGGCGUGCCUAACACAUGCAAGUCGAGCGAACAGACGAGGAUCUUGCUCCUCUGACGUUAGCGGCGGACGGGUGAGUAACACGUGGAUAACCUACCUAUAAGACUGGGAUAACUUCGGGAAACCGGAGCUAAUACCGGAUAAUAUAUUGAACCGCAUGGUUCAAUAGUGAAAGAGGGUUUUGCUGUCACUUAUACAUGGAUCCGCGCCGGAUUAGCUAGUUGGUAAGGUAACGGCUUACCAAGGCCACGAUGCGUUACCGACCUGAGAGGGUGAUCGGCGACACUGGAACUGAGACACGGUCCAGACUCCUACGGGAGGCAGCGGUUGGGAAUCUUGGGCAAUGGGCGAAAUCCUGACGGAGCAACGCCGCGUGGGUGAUGAAGGUCUUCGGAUCGUAAAACUCUGUUAGUAGGGAAGAACGAUUGUGUAAGUAACUAUGCACGUCUUGACGGUACCUAAACAAAAAGCAACGGCUAACUACGUG
This 497-nucleotide ribosomal RNA is filed under the name uncultured bacterium. RNAcentral's name for it is "partial 16S ribosomal RNA". It matches the Rfam family "Bacterial small subunit ribosomal RNA", at positions 28 to 507 of the family's 1533-position model. The record is from RNAcentral.